Molecule: long non-coding RNA, 1429 nt
Organism: Eriocheir sinensis (Chinese mitten crab)
Lineage: Eukaryota; Metazoa; Arthropoda; Malacostraca; Decapoda; Varunidae
Exons: 2
Source: RefSeq, a predicted model, not a curated record
CGAACACUGUUAACCGUUUUGUGUUCUAAUUUCACUGAUGCAACACUAAAACUCACAUGAUACUGAUUUUACGAGGCUGUGUUUCCCCCCCAUCAACACCCUGGAACACUUUUACUGUUUUGUGUUCUAAUUUCACUGACGCAACACUAAAACUCACACGAUACUGAUUUUACGAGGCUGUGUUUCCCCCCCAUCAACACCCUGGAACACUUUUACUGUUUUCUGUUCUAAUUUCACUAACGCGACACAAUGCACUGUUUACGCUUCCCCCAUACCACUGAGACCCGGGGAUGCAGUUUGACGAUCAUUUUACUUUGAUGAUCAUUUUACGAGUGUUGUAUGGAAAGCAAGCACUGCCGUGAACACACAAACUAACACACCGCCUCGGCACUCUUCAGAAGCUUCGGCUAGUGGGCGUACGGCACUAGGCUCGGCACGGAUGACACGAACGGGAAGUUGACGAAACAUAAUGCCUGGUUUGAACUCAAUGUAGGUUGCAGUGAGACCUUAUUGCUCGGAGCGGGGUAGAAAACGGCGCGCUAAAAUGUCACUACUAACGAAAUGGGUCAUUCUUCCGAACCCUAAAGAAACUAGGUAAGAUUACGAGGCUUUGGCUUGUCAACGAAGAAAAAAUUGUGUUUGGUACGAGCGGAAUGUUUCGUUUACGUAAUGGCUCUGUUUUGCCGCCUCUAUUACAAGCAACAUACUUUUUCACUCUCCUUCUUUAGCGAUUGUGGGAAAGUGUCAAAUCAAAGCCAACUCCAGAAUCAGGGAAAACACGGGAGAUUUCCAACUCAGACCAGGACGCAAGCUUGUACCUAGUCUGGCUGGGGAGAAAUCCUAAGCCACCUGUGACAUCAAGAUCAAGUGUGUUUGCCCUUUUCCAACAGGUGUACAAAUCAAAACAGUGACUCUCCUUCAAGUCAAAGCCAACUACAGAAUUAGGAAAGCACAUGAGACUCCCAACCCAGACCAGGACCAAGCUUGUACCUAGUGUUUGCCCUUUUCCAACAGGCUCACAAAUCAAAACAUUCAACACAGUAAAGGGAUGGUGUCUAAUGUUUCUCCUUUUCCAACAGGUUUUAAUCAAUCGAGUGUUUCAAGGCUUCCGUACACAAUUCUAUGUCUCGUAACUUUUCACAUCUGAGCCAAAAUGAGUCGUAAUAAUGCGUUUGUCAAUCAACUAGUACAGGGCUAACUCACACCACUGUCUCGUAAAUUCCGCAUCCAUUCCAGCAAAAAUAAUGUCGCUCAAUCAAAUAGUUCAAUGGUCACACACACCUUGUCUUGUAACUUUCCGCCUCAAUUCCAGCAAAAAUAGAUAAUCAACUCAAUCAAAUUAUUCAAGGGUAACAGAACUAUUUCAAACACAUUACACACACACACACACCAUUCUGUCUCGUAACUUUCCGCUUCAAAUCCAGAAAAA